CCUACGGGAGGCAGCAGUGAGGAAUAUUGGUCAAUGGGCGCAAGCCUGAACCAGCCAAGUCGCGUGAGGGAUGACGGUCCUAUGGAUUGUAAACCUCUUUUGUCGGGGAGCAAGGCCCGCCACGUGUGGCGGGAAGGAGAGUACCCGAAGAAAAAGCAUCGGCUAACUCCGUGCCAGCAGCCGCGGUAAUACGGGGGAUGCGAGCGUUAUCCGGAUUUAUUGGGUUUAAAGGGUGCGUAGGCGGAAGGUUAAGUCAGCGGUCAAAUGUCGGUGCUCAACACCGGCCUGCCGUUGAAACUGGUCGUCUUGAGUGAGCGAGAAGUAUGCGGAAUGCGUGGUGUAGCGGUGAAAUGCAUAGAUAUCACGCAGAACGCCGAUUGCGAAGGCAGCAUACCGGCGCUCAACUGACGCUGAGGCACGAAAGCGUGGGGAUCGAACAGGAUUAGAUACCCCAGUAGUC
Molecule: ribosomal RNA, 460 nt
Filed under: uncultured bacterium
Lineage: Bacteria
Description: partial 16S ribosomal RNA
Rfam family: Bacterial small subunit ribosomal RNA
Source: RNAcentral